ACGUACACUCCUGCGGGAGGCAGCAGUGGGGAAUAUUGCACAAUGGGCGCAAGCCUGAUGCAGCCAUGCCGCGUGUAUGAAGAAGGCCUUCGGGUUGUAAAGUACUUUCAGCGGGGAGGAAGGCGAUAAGGUUAAUAACCUUGUUGAUUGACGUUACCCGCAGAAGAAGCACCGGCUAACUCCGUGCCAGCAGCCGCGGUAAUACGGAGGGUGCAAGCGUUAAUCGGAAUUACUGGGCGUAAAGCUCACGCAGGCGGUCUGUCAAGUCGGAUGUGAAAUCCCCGGGCUCAACCUGGGAACUGCAUUCGAAACUGGCAGGCUAGAGUCUUGUAGAGGGGGGUAGAAUUCCAGGUGUAGCGGUGAAAUGCGUAGAGAUCUGGAGGAAUACCGGUGGCGAAGGCGGCCCCCUGGACAAAGACUGACGCUCAGGUGCGAAAGCGUGGGGAGCAAACAGGAUUAGAUACCCGAGUAGUCCCAUGAU
RNAcentral lists this ribosomal RNA (481 nucleotides) under uncultured organism. RNAcentral describes it as "partial 16S ribosomal RNA". It matches the Rfam family "Bacterial small subunit ribosomal RNA", at positions 329 to 801 of the family's 1533-position model. The record is from RNAcentral.